ACGCAGUAAACGAAGGAUACUAGAAGCUCGCAACCACGCUUAUGUUUUUCAAAGCUAACGCAUUAAGUAGACCGCCUGGGGAGGACGGCCGCAAGGGUCAAACUCAAAUGAAUUGACGGGUGCCCGCACAAGCGGUGGAGCAUGUGGUUUAAUUCGAUGCAACGCGAAGAACCUUACCUACACUUGACAUACAGAGAACUUACCAGAGAUGGUUUGGUGCCUUCGGGAACUCUGAUACAGGUGCUGCAUGGCUGUCGUCAGCUCGUGUUGUGAGAUGUUGGGUUAAGUCCCGCAACGAGCGCAACCCCUAUCCUUAGUUGCUAGCAGGUAAUGCUGAGAACUCUAAGGAGACUGCCGGUGAUAAACCGGAGGAAG
This 375-nucleotide ribosomal RNA is filed under the name Pseudoalteromonas sp. S4741. RNAcentral's name for it is "bacterial SSU rRNA". It matches the Rfam family "Bacterial small subunit ribosomal RNA", at positions 797 to 1172 of the family's 1533-position model. The record is from RNAcentral. Lineage: Bacteria; Pseudomonadati; Pseudomonadota; Gammaproteobacteria; Alteromonadales; Pseudoalteromonadaceae.